RNAcentral lists this ribosomal RNA (521 nucleotides) under Habronattus sugillatus. RNAcentral's name for it is "partial 16S ribosomal RNA". It matches the Rfam family "Bacterial large subunit ribosomal RNA", at positions 1831 to 2706 of the family's 2925-position model. Lineage: Eukaryota; Metazoa; Arthropoda; Arachnida; Araneae; Salticidae. The record is from RNAcentral.
UUCUAUUAGAAAUUAUUAAUAGUAAAAUCUGCUCCAUGUUUAAUAAAUAGCCGCAAUUUGUGCUAAGGUAGCAUAAUCAUUUGUCUUUUAAAUGAAGACUAGAACAAAAGAUUUAACAUUUUCAGUUCAUUUUCCUAAUUUAAAUUAUUAAAAUUUUCCUAAAUGUAAAAAGACAUUUAUUCUAAAGAAAGACGAUAAGACCCUAUUGAACUUAACUGCAGUUAAACUGGGGCAGUAAAUUAAUUAUUAUUUUAAUAAAACUUAUUAUAUAAGUAUCUAAUAAAAUUAAAUAAUUCAGUUACCAUAGGGAUAACAGCGUAAUAAUUUUCUAAAGAUCUUAUUUAAAAUAUAGAUUACGACCUCGAUGUUGAAUUAAUAACCUAAAUAAGGCAAAACUUAAAAAAGGAAGUCUGUUCGACUUUUAAAAAAUUACAUGAUUUGAGUUCAGACCGGUAUAAGCCAGGUCGGUUUCUAUCUUCUAAAAAAUUUUUUACAGUACGAAAGGACCUAAAAAUUUAAUA